GGUCCAUCUGCAUCAGCCUUAAUGUAUUCCAUUUUCAGAAGAGGUUCGUCUGUCUUACUUGAAGAAUUAAUAAUACAGAGAGGAUCUCCAUUUGAGUCAGUUAUUUCAGUGCAUCUCAUAAUGAUUUUUUUCAGAUAUGCUCCUGCAGUCAAUUCAUGAUUUCUGAUUUCAGUUUUGGUUCCAAGCUGUAAUACGUUUAGAAUGUGUAAUGGAUACCUCUCCUUCUGAAGUUGCUUCAUCAGAG
RNAcentral lists this long non-coding RNA (244 nucleotides) under Gallus gallus (chicken). The record is from RNAcentral. Lineage: Eukaryota; Metazoa; Chordata; Aves; Galliformes; Phasianidae.